Molecule: ribosomal RNA, 325 nt
Filed under: Chitinophagaceae bacterium
Lineage: Bacteria; Pseudomonadati; Bacteroidota; Chitinophagia; Chitinophagales; Chitinophagaceae
Description: bacterial SSU rRNA
Rfam family: Bacterial small subunit ribosomal RNA
Source: RNAcentral
ACGAUGAAGAGUUUGAUCCUGGCUCAGGAUGAACGCUAGCGGCAGGCUUAACACAUGCAAGUCGAGGGGUAGAGGCUUUCGGGCCUUGAGACCGGCGCACGGGUGCGUAACGCGUAUGCAAUCUGCCUUUCACAGAGGAAUAGCCCAGAGAAAUUUGGAUUAAUGCCUCAUAGCAUUGCAAAAGGGCAUCCUUUAGCAAUUAAAGUCACAACGGUGAAAGAUGAGCAUGCGUCCCAUUAGCUAGUUGGUAAGGUAACGGCUUACCAAGGCAACGAUGGGUAGGGGUCCUGAGAGGGAGAUCCCCCACACUGGUACUGAGACACGG